Molecule: long non-coding RNA, 5434 nt
Filed under: Arabidopsis lyrata
Lineage: Eukaryota; Viridiplantae; Streptophyta; Magnoliopsida; Brassicales; Brassicaceae
Description: long non-coding RNA (ALYR_LNC002660)
Source: RNAcentral
UUGUUGAAUAACUAAAUAUUAUGAAGAUAAAUAUGUGUAUAAAUGUUAUAUGAUUUUUGAUUUAAGAGAGAGAUAGGAAGUAGAGUUUAGAGAGAGUUUAGAGAAUAGAUUUGCUUCUCUUAUUUUUUCCACUUGAAUUACAUUCACAAUGGCAUCUAUAUAUACACAUAAUGAUGUCUUAAUGGAAUAGCUAAUAAUGGCUAAUAUUAGGGGGUGGCUAAUGGGAUGAGUGGGUAGGUUUGUGUAAUGGGAUGAGUGGGUAGGUUUGUGUGAUGAAUAAUCACAUAUUUCAUAACACUCCCCCUUGAGUAUUCAUCACCAUAGAUGUAUGACGUACUGCCUCGUUAAAAACCUUCUCAUGGAAAAACCCAUUGGGAUAAAAACCAUGACAAGGGAAAAAGAGUACAGUAACACAUACUCCCCCUGGAAAAGACUUCAUAGGUCUCGUAGAUGACGCAUUCCAAUACUUUGAACAUGCUUUCUAAAUGUAGAAGUUGGAAGCGCCUUUGUGAAUAGAUCUGCUGCAUUGUCACUUGAACGAAUGUACUGAACGUUGACUUCCUUAUUCUUCUCGAGUUCUUGAGUGUAGGAGAAGAAUCUUGGAGGAAUAUGUUUUGUUCUGUCGCUCUUGAUAUAGCCUUCUUUGAUUUGAGCAACACAUGCAGCAUUAUCUUCAUAUAGUCUUGUUGGCUCUCUUUUGAUGACUAAUCCACUUGCUUCUUGAAUAUGGUUAGUCAUAGAUCUAAGCCAUACACAUUCUCUACACGCUUCAUGAAGAGCAAUGAUCUCUGCGUGAUUUGAUGAGGUGGCUACUAUCGUUUGCUUUUGAGAACGCCACGAGAUUGCAGUUCCUCCAAUGGUAAAAACAUAUCCAGUUUGUGAUCUAGACUUAUGAGAGUCCGAUAGAUAUCCUGCAUCUGCAAAACCAACUAGACCAAACUCGGAGUUUCUAGAAUAAUAUAAUCCCAAAUCAAUUGUACCUUGAAGAUAGCGGAAGAUGUGUUUUAUCCCAUUCCAAUGCCUUCGAGUAGGGGAUGAAUUGUACCUUGCAAGCAAAUUAGUAGCAAAAGCAAUAUCUGGUCUAGUACAAUUUGCAAGAUACAUAGAAUGAGAAAAUUCCAUCAUCAUCAUCUAUCUCAUUUCUAACCCAUAUUUUUCUAUUUUGGGUAUAGUUGAUCUCAUGGUUUUCUUUAUUAUUUUCGUCUUCAGGACUUUUUCCGUCUUCAGGACUUUUCUCUGUAUCCAACUCUUCAGGAAUCUUCUCAUUUACUUCUCCCAAUUUCUUUUUCUUCCGGGGAUUUUUAUCUUUUGAGCCCAUUGGUCUCCCCCUUUUCAACUGAACUUUAGGUUCAUUUAUUUUUCCAUCAGUUUGUUCUUCGGGAACAUCAAUUCUAGAUGGAACAUUCGCAGCGGGUAUAUAAGAUUUUGUCACCCUUCUUGUAUCAGUGAAUGCAUCUGGUAGUUGAUUUGCCAAAUUUUGUAAAUGUACAAUUUUCUGAACUUCCAGUUCACGUUGUUUCGUAGGGGGAUCAAGGUGCAAUAAAGAUGGUGUGCACCAUGUAAUAUCUUUUGGAAUUUCUUUAAUUCCUCCCCCUAAUGCUGGGAAUUCAUCCUCAUUAAAAUGGCAAUCAGCAAAACGUGCCGUAAACAUAUCACCAGUUUGCGGUUCAAGAUACCGAAUUAUACUUGGUGAUGUAAACCCGACAUAUAUUCCCAAUCUCCUUUGUGGUCCCAUUUUUGUUCUUUGUGGUGGAGCUAUAGGUACAUAAACCGCACAUCCAAAAACGCGGAGAUGGGAUAUAUCUGGCUUCUGGCCAGAACCUAAUUGUAAUGGGGAGUAUUUAUGAUAUGCACUUGGCCGUAUUUGAAUUAGUGCAGCAGCAUGCAAGAUUGCAUGACCCCAUACCAAAAUUGGGAGCUUUGUUCUCAUUAUUAACGGUCUAGCAAUAAGUUGUAGCCGUUUAAUCAAGGACUCAGCCAUGCCAUUUUGUGUAUGAACAUGAGGGACCGGAUGUUCAACAUCAAUUCCUAAUAACAUGCAAUAAUCAUUGAAAACUUGUGAAAUAAACUCACCAGCAUUAUCAAGUCUUACUUUCUUUAUUGUAUAAUCAGGGAAUUGUGCUCUCAACCUGAUUAUUUGGGUAAUGAAUUUCGCGAAAGCCGAAUUUCGUGUGCUUAACAAACACACAUGUGACCAUAUGCUGGAUGCGUCAAUUAAUACCAUAAAAUAUCGAAAUGGCCUGCACUGUGGGUGAAUAGGUCCACAUAUAUCACCAUGUAUUCUUUCUAAGAAUGCUGGAGAUUCAUUCCCAAUUUUCGCUGGUGAUGGCCGAGUUAUUAACUUUCCUUGAGAACAAGCAUUACAUGAAAAUUCUUUUGAUUGAAAAAUCUUCUGGUUUUUCAAUAGAUGGCCAUUUGAAUUUUUCAUAAUUUUACGCAUCAUGACUGAACCUGGAUGCCCUAAACGUUCAUGCCAGAUUUUGAACGUAUUUGUAAACUUCGGGUUUACAGUAAUAUAUGAUUCAAUCAUAUUUAUUUCUGUGGAAUAUAUUCCGGAGGAUAAAGCUGCUAGCUUUUCUAAUAUACAUUUAUUCUCCGUAAUAAUUGAUGUAAUGCAAAGAUAUUCAAUGCCAUUUUCAUUUAGAGUUUCUAUGUGAUAUCCAUUUCUGCGGAUAUCUCUGAAACUUAACAAAUUUCUAAAUGAUUUAGGAGAAUAUAAUGCAUUAUUUAUUUCAAUUUUUGUUCCCCUCGGCAUUGAAAAACUGGCUCUUCCGGAGCCCAUAAUAAUUUUUGCAUUGCCAGAUAUAGUAUUCACGCUUUCGGCAGAAUUUUGUAUUUUAAGGGAGGAGAAAUAUUUUUUUAUCUUUAAGUAUUGUGUGCGUUGUAGCACUGUCUGCCAGACAGAUAUCUCCAUCCUUCAUCUCAAAUUUGGACAUUUUCUGAAUUUAUAAAUAUUCAUAAAAAAUAUGUUAAUAUAUCAUAACAAACGAUUUAUAUUACAAUAAAACUAUUUUACAAUAGAGAUAAAAUACAAAACACACAAAAAAACAAACAUUAAGCUUUUAUUUUCUUCUUCAGGAAGAUAAACAUAACUAUCAUGUCACACAAACUUCUUCGGGAAGUUUUAUUCAUUUUGUUUAUCGUUGAUGGCUUCAGGAUCAACUAUGAAGUCGGCAAUGUCGAGAUAUGUAUCAUCGAUUAAACCAUCGAAAGAAGGCCCUGGUUCACCAUAAACAAAGUUGGUUUCUUUUUCUUUUUGUGAUUUUUGGUACAGAUCGGCCAAAUGUUUCGACGUACGACAGGUACGGGACCAAUGUCCUUUCAUGCCGCAUCUGUAACAAGCAUUUUCAUGUUGCUUAAUCGCGCGACCAUCUUCGUUCCUUUUGAAUCUUUUAUUGUUGUUUUUAGUGGAAUCAUUAGGACCAAAUUUUCUUCCAUGUCCACGUCCACGCACAUAUCCACCUCGUCCACGACCACGAUCAUUACUUCGAGCGCGUUUACGUCCGUAAUUAUUAUAAUUAGAUGCUGCAACAUUCACUUCCGGGAAUGGAGCUGAUCCAGUCGGACGAGAUUGAUGGUUCAAUAUCAUAAUUUCAUUAUUUUGUUCUGCAACCAACAGAACUUGCAUUAGUUCAGAAUACUUCGUGUAUCCUUUUGCUCGGUAUUGUUGUUGCAGAAGUACAUUUCCAGGAUGGAAUGUUUGGAGAGUUUUCUCAAUCAUAUCAUAAUCACUUAUAUUUUCUCCACAUAACAUUAUCCUGGAAGUAAUUCCGAACAAAGCGGAAUUAUAUUCGGCAACACUUUUGAAAUCCUGAAACCGGAGGUUCAGCCACUUGUGUUUCGCUUUUGGUAAGAUCACAUAUUUUUGGUGAUCAAACCUAUCUCCGAGUGCUUGCCAAAGAUCUGCAGGAUCUUCCUUUGUGAUGUAUUCAUCUUUUAAACCAUCAUGAAUAUGGUGGGUUAAAAAUAUCAUGGCAUUUGCCUUAUCCUCUUCAGGGGAUGAUUUUGAUUUAUCGAUGGUGUCAAGGAGCCUUUUUCCUUUUAAAUGCCUCUUUGCUGCAACGGCCCAUCUCAUAUAAUUAUUCCCAGAGAUAUCAAGGGCAGUUAUCUCGAGUUUUGUCAAAUUUGACAUGAUAACUGUAAACAUAUAAAAUAAUUUAUUAAACAUAAAUUUACUCGUUUUUCAAUUGUAAUUUAAAUGGCAUGAUAAUGUUAUUUAAUUAAAUUGAACCAUUUUAAAUAUGCAAACGAUUACAAAUGUCAUUAUUAAAAGUUUCAUUUAAUUAAUUUAAAACAUAGAAGGUACUUUCAUAAGUGAAGCGAUUACAAGAAACACAAUUACAUAGAGAAGUAAAAUAGAAACCAUUAAAAACUCUUCGGGAGAAAAUUCUCCAAAAAUUAAACCAUAAAUAGCAACAAAAAUAAAACCUAUUACAAAAACUAAGAAUGAAUUAACCAUUUUUUUUCUUAGAUUUUAGAGAGAGAUAUGAUGAAUGAGUGAAAUGAAAUGAAUGAAAAUGAUUGUAUUUAUAGAUUAAAAUUUAUUGUUCAUAACCGUUAUAAAUACUGUUCCUAGCCGUUUGAAAAAUAUAAAAUUUUGAAAAAUUUCUUCAUGACCGUUGGUGAAAAUAUUAAACCGAAAAUCAAUCGCAAAUAUAUAUAAUCAGAUAGUUAAAAAUUUAACAAUUUAGAUAUCAUAAUGGAAUUUAUAAACAUAACAUGAAUUAAAAUAUUACAAAAUUAAAAGAACAAUAAUUAUAAUUUCUCUUCUGGACAAAAUUUAUUAUAUAGUUCUUCUGGAACGUUUUCAUAUGUCUUCUGGACAUUUUUAUUUCAUAUAUUUUAUUUUAUAUAGUUCUUCAUGAACUUUAAAUAAAUAUCUUCAUGAUAUGUAAUUAUAAAAUAAUGAUCUGAGGAGGCAGAGCCUACCAUAUGAUCAUGAUCCGUUUCAGGAGGCAUAGCCUUCCAUAAGAUCAAGAAGGAGGUAUAACCUUCCAUUCCUUAAAUAUUAUAAAUAAAUAAAUUUUAAAUAAAUUUAAACAUAAUUUAAAAUAUUACCUUCACUAUACUUUAAAUAUUUAAUCGUGUAGAGAUUCGGAUGUUUUUAGAAACGAGAGCUUACUCGUGCUGAUAACGUGUUGAAUAACUAAAUAUUAUGAAGAUAAAUAUGUGUAUAAAUGUUAUAUGAUUUUUGAUUUAAGAGAGAGAUAGGAAGUAGAGUUUAGAGAGAGUUUAGAGAAUAGAUUUGCUUCUUUUAUUUUUUCCACUUGAAUUACAUUCACAAUGGCAUCUAUAUAUACAUAUAAUAAUGUCUUAAUGGAAUAGCUAAUAAUGGCUAAUAUUAGGGGGUGGCUAAUGGGAUGAGUGGAUAGGUUUGUGUAAUGGGAUGAGUGGGUAGGUUUGUGUGAUGAAUAAUCACAUAUUUCAUAACAGU